This 513-nucleotide ribosomal RNA is filed under the name uncultured bacterium. RNAcentral describes it as "partial 16S ribosomal RNA". It matches the Rfam family "Bacterial small subunit ribosomal RNA", at positions 29 to 523 of the family's 1533-position model. The record is from RNAcentral.
AGCGAACGUUAGCGGCGGGCCUAACACAUGCAAGUCGAGCGAGAAAGGGGCUUCGGCCCUGAGUAAAGCGGCGGACGGGUGAGUAACACGUAGGUAAUCUUCCUUCGAGCGGGGGACAACGGUCCGAAAGGACCGCUAAUACCGCGUACGUUCCCGAGGACCCUGGUCCUUGGGAGGAAAGCUAGGUCGCAAGAUCCGGCACUCAGAGAGGAGCCUGCGUCGCAUCAGCUAGUUGGUGGGGUAAUGGCCUACCAAGGCGAAGACGCGUAGCUGGUCUGAGAGGAUGAUCAGCCACACUGGGACUGAGACACGGCCCAGACCCCUACGGGAGGCAGCAGUGGGGAAUAUUGGACAAUGGGCGCAAGCCUGAUCCAGCCACGCCGCGUGAGUGAUGAAGGCCUUCGGGUCGUAAAGCUCUGUGGGGAGGGACGAACCGCUGCACGUGCAUAGCGUGCAGCAUGACGGUACCUCCUUAGCAAGCACCGACUAACUUCGUGCCAGCCGCCGCCGUAA